AUUGAACGCUGGCGGCAGGCCUAACACAUGCAAGUCGAGCGGAUGAAGGGAGCUUGCUCCUGGAUUCAGCGGCGGACGGGUGAGUAAUGCCUAGGAAUCUGCCUGGUAGUGGGGGAUAACGUCCGGAAACGGGCGCUAAUACCGCAUACGUCCUGAGGGAGAAAGUGGGGGAUCUUCGGACCUCACGCUAUCAGAUGAGCCUAGGUCGGAUUAGCUAGUUGGUGGGGUAAAGGCCUACCAAGGCGACGAUCCGUAACUGGUCUGAGAGGAUGAUCAGUCACACUGGAACUGAGACACGGUCCAGACUCCUACGGGAGGCAGCAGUGGGGAAUAUUGGACAAGGGGCGAAAGCCUGAUCCAGCCAUGCCGCGUGUGUGAAGAGGUCUUCGGAUUGUAAAGCACUUUAAGUUGGGAGGAAGGGCAGUAAGUUAAUACCUUGCUGUUUUGACGUUACCAACAGAAUAAGCACCGGCUAACUUCGUG
RNAcentral lists this ribosomal RNA (483 nucleotides) under uncultured bacterium. Its description in RNAcentral is "partial 16S ribosomal RNA". It matches the Rfam family "Bacterial small subunit ribosomal RNA", at positions 30 to 507 of the family's 1533-position model. The record is from RNAcentral.